CCGUGCGGGUUGGUUAAAGACACUUUUAGUUGGGGAGUGAAAAGACUCAGGGUUAACACCUCUGGGUCUUGACCUAACCCACAGAAAAAGCACCGGCUAACUCUGUGC
RNAcentral lists this ribosomal RNA (108 nucleotides) under uncultured bacterium. Its description in RNAcentral is "partial 16S ribosomal RNA". The record is from RNAcentral.